This 462-nucleotide ribosomal RNA is filed under the name uncultured beta proteobacterium. RNAcentral's name for it is "bacterial SSU rRNA". It matches the Rfam family "Bacterial small subunit ribosomal RNA", at positions 202 to 645 of the family's 1533-position model. Lineage: Bacteria; Pseudomonadati; Pseudomonadota; Betaproteobacteria. The record is from RNAcentral.
AGAAGCAGGGGAUCGUAAGACCUUGCGCUUUUGGAGCGGCCGAUGUCUGAUUAGCUAGUUGGUGGGGUAAUGGCCUACCAAAGCUUCGAUCAGUAGCUGGUCUGAGAGGACGGCCAGCCACACUGGGACUGAGACACGGCCCAGACUCCUACGGGAGGCAGCAGUGGGGAAUUUUGGACAAUGGGCGCAAGCCUGAUCCAGCCAUGCCGCGUGAGUGAAGAAGGCCUUCGGGUUGUAAAGCUCUUUCAGCCGGGAAGAAAAGGCUGCGACUAAUAAUCGCAGUUCAUGACGGUACCGGAAGAAGAAGCACCGGCUAACUACGUGCCAGCAGCCGCGGUAAUACGUAGGGUGCGAGCGUUAAUCGGAAUUACUGGGCGUAAAGGGUGCGCAGGCGGUUUUGUAAGUCAGAUGUGAAAUCCCCGGGCUUAACCUGGGAACUGCGUUUGAAACUACAAAGCUAGA